RNAcentral lists this ribosomal RNA (567 nucleotides) under uncultured bacterium. Its description in RNAcentral is "bacterial SSU rRNA". It matches the Rfam family "Bacterial small subunit ribosomal RNA", at positions 66 to 670 of the family's 1533-position model. The record is from RNAcentral.
ACGAGAGGUUCUUUCGGGAACUGGAGAGUGGCGCACGGGUGAGUAACGCGUGGGGACCUACCUCUUAGUGGGGGAUAACGGUUGGAAACGACCGCUAAUACCGCAUACGCCCUUCGGGGGAAAGAUUUAUCGCUAAGAGAUGGACCCGCGUUGGAUUAGAUAGUUGGUGAGGUAACGGCUCACCAAGUCAGCGAUCCAUAGCUGGUUUGAGAGGAUGAUCAGCCACACUGGGACUGAGACACGGCCCAGACUCCUACGGGAGGCAGCAGUGGGGAAUAUUGGACAAUGGGCGGAAGCCUGAUCCAGCCAUGCCGCGUGAGUGAAGAAGGCCUUCGGGUUGUAAAGCUCUUUCAGAUGCGAAGAUGAUGACGGUAACAUCAGAAGAAGCCCCGGCUAAUUUCGUGCCAGCAGCCGCGGUAAUACGAAAGGGGCAAGCGUUGUUCGGAUUUACUGGGCGUAAAGGGCACGCAGGCGGUCUUGCCGGUCAGGGGUGAAAGCCCGGGGCUCAACCCCGGAACUGCCUCUGAUACUGCAGGACUAGAGACUAGGAGAGGGUGGUGGAAUUCC